GGUUCGAUUCUGGCUCAGAUUGAACGCUGGCGGGAUGCUUUACACAUGCAAGUCGAACGCAGCACGGACUUCGGUCUGGUGGCGAGUGGCGAACGGGUGAGUAAUGUAUCGGAACGUGCCUAGUAGCGGGGGAUAACUACGCGAAAGCGUAGCUAAUACCGCAUACGCCCUUCGGGGGAAAGCGGGGGACCUUCGGGCCUCGCACUAUUAGGAGCGGCCGAUAUCGGAAUUAGCUAGUUGCGGGGUAACGGCUCACCAAGGCGACGAUCCGUAGCUGGUUUGAGAGGACGACCAGCCACACUGGGACUGAGACACGGCCCAGACUCCUACGGGAGGCAGCAGUGGGGAAUUUUGGACAAUGGGGGAACCCUGAUCCAGCCAUCCCGCGCGUGCGAUGAAGGCCUUCGGGUUGUAAAGCACUUUUGGCAGUGAAAGAAACGGCACGGGAUAAUACCCCGUGCAACUGACGGUACCUGCAGAAUAAGCACCGGCUAACUACCGUGCCAGCAGCCGCGGUAAUACGUAGGUGCAAGCGUUAAUCGGAAUUACUGGGCGUAAAGCGUGCGCAGGCGGUUCCGGAAAGAAAGAUGGGAAACCGCGAGCUUAACUUUGGAACUGCAUUAACUACCGAGAGCGAGUGUGUCAGAGGUGAGUGGAAUUCCGCGUGUAGCAGUGAAAUGCGUAGAUAUGCGGAGGAACACCGAUGGCGAAGGCAGCCUCCUGGGAUAACACUGACGCUCAUGCACGAAAGCGUGGGGAGCAAACAGGAUUAGAUACCUCUGGUAGUCCACGCCCUAAACGAUGUCAACUAGCUGUUGGGGCCUUCGCCUUGUGAAGCGCAGCUAACGCGGUGAAGUUGACCGCCUGGGGAGUACGGUCGCAAGAUUAAAACCAAAGAGUUUGACGGGACUCCGCACAAGCGGUGGAUGAUGUGGAUUAAUCUGAUGCAACGCGAAAAACCUUACCUACCCUUUGAUGUCUGAACUCUGAAGAGAUUUGGGGAGGCCUCGCAGAGAACGCCAAGCUGUGGUGCUGCAUGGCUGUCGUCAGCCUUGCCGGAGAUGUUGCCAAGUCCCGCAACGAGCAACCCUUGUCAUUAGUUGCUACGAAAGGCACUCUAAUGAGACUGCCGGUGACAAACCGGAGGAAGGUGGGGAUGACGUCAAGUCCUCAUGGCUCUUGCGGUAGGGCUUCACACGUCAUACAAUGGUCGGGACAGAGGGUCGCCAACCCGCGAGGGGGAGCAAUCCCAGAAACCCGAUCGCAGUCCGGAUCGCAGUCUGCAACUCGACGGUGCGUCGGAAUCGCUAGUAAUCGCGAUCAGCAUGGUCGCGGUGAAUAUGUUCCGGGUCUUGUACACACCGCCCGUCACACCAUGGAGUGGGUUUUACCAGAAGUAGUUAGCCUAACCGUAAGGAUAGCGAUUACCACGGUAGGAUUCGUUAAGGACUGGGGUGAAGUCGUAACAAGGU
This 1472-nucleotide ribosomal RNA is filed under the name uncultured Bordetella sp. Its description in RNAcentral is "partial 16S-23S ribosomal RNA intergenic spacer". It matches the Rfam family "Bacterial small subunit ribosomal RNA". Lineage: Bacteria; Pseudomonadati; Pseudomonadota; Betaproteobacteria; Burkholderiales; Alcaligenaceae. The record is from RNAcentral.